Molecule: non-coding RNA, 61 nt
Organism: Otolemur garnettii (small-eared galago)
Lineage: Eukaryota; Metazoa; Chordata; Mammalia; Primates; Galagidae
Source: Rfam
AGCUUUGCUCAGUGGUAGUAUCGUAACCAAUGAGGUUUAUCCGAGGUGUGAUUAUUGCUAA